This 30-nucleotide non-coding RNA is filed under the name Rattus norvegicus (Norway rat). The record is from RNAcentral. Lineage: Eukaryota; Metazoa; Chordata; Mammalia; Rodentia; Muridae.
UGCACACAGGAGUGUCAAGUGUUCGAAUUU